AGUGAACGUUGGCGGCGUGGAUUAGGCAUGCAAGUCGAGCGAGAACCGUAGCAAUACGGGGACAGCGGCGAAAGGGAAAGUACUGUGUAGGUACCUACCCCAGGGUCUGGGAUAGCUGCGGGAAACUGCAGGUACUACCGGAUAAUGUCUUCGGACCAAAGGUGUGAUUCCACCUUGGGCGGUGCCUGCAUCCUAAUAGCUUGUUGGCGUGGUAACGGCCCACCAAGGCAACGAUGGGUAGCGGGUGCGGGAGCACGACCUCGCGUCAUUGGGACUGAGAUACUGCCCAGACACCUACGGGUGGCUGCAGUCGAGGAUCUUCGGCAAUGGGCGAAAGCCUGACCGAGCGACGCCGCGUGCGGGAUGAAGGCCUUCGGGUUGUAAACCGCUGUCGUAGAGGAGGAAAUGCAGGGGGGUUCUCCCUUCUGUUUGACCUAUUCUAGGAGGAAGGACCGGCCAACUACGUGCCAGCCGCCGCCGUAA
This 483-nucleotide ribosomal RNA is filed under the name uncultured bacterium. RNAcentral's name for it is "partial 16S ribosomal RNA". It matches the Rfam family "Bacterial small subunit ribosomal RNA", at positions 28 to 523 of the family's 1533-position model. The record is from RNAcentral.